AGGAAGAUAGUUCAGCGGUAGAGCGUUGGUUUCCAAAACCAAAAGACAAAGGUUCAAAUCCUUUUUUUCCUG
RNAcentral lists this transfer RNA (72 nucleotides) under Proschkinia sp. SZCZR1824. Its description in RNAcentral is "tRNA-Trp". It matches the Rfam family "tRNA". Rfam says of the family: Transfer RNA (tRNA) molecules are approximately 80 nucleotides in length. Their secondary structure includes four short double-helical elements and three loops (D, anti-codon, and T loops). The record is from RNAcentral. Lineage: Eukaryota; Bacillariophyta; Bacillariophyceae; Naviculales; Stauroneidaceae.